GUAGGUGGCAAGCGUUGUCCGGAAUUAUUGGGCGUAAAGCGCGCGCAGGCGGUUCUUUAAGUCUGAUGUGAAAGCCCACGGCUCAACCGUGGAGGGUCAUUGGAAACUGGAGAACUUGAGUACAGAAGAGGAAAGCGGAAUUCCACGUGUAGCGGUGAAAUGCGUAGAGAUGUGGAGGAACACCAGUGGCGAAGGCGGCUUUCUGGUCUGUAACUGACGCUGAGGCGCGAAAGCGUGGGGAGCAAACAGGAUUAGAUACCCUGGUAGUCCACGCCGUAAACGAUGAGUGCUAAGUGUUAGGGGGUUUCCGCCCCCCUUAGUGCUGCAGCUAACGCAUUAAGCACUCCACCUGGGAGUACGGCCGCAAGGCUG
Molecule: ribosomal RNA, 372 nt
Filed under: uncultured organism
Description: partial 16S ribosomal RNA
Rfam family: Bacterial small subunit ribosomal RNA
Source: RNAcentral